Molecule: long non-coding RNA, 289 nt
Filed under: Nicotiana benthamiana
Lineage: Eukaryota; Viridiplantae; Streptophyta; Magnoliopsida; Solanales; Solanaceae
Description: long non-coding RNA (NBEN_LNC005212)
Source: RNAcentral
AGACUUAUUGGGCACAGGUGGUCAUUAUACCCAAGAAAGUGCUGAAAGUAAUAGAAGUAAUAUGCAGAACUUUCCUCUGGACUGGUAAGGCUAACCUAUCCAGAAGAGCUCUGGUAGCUUGGGACAAGGUGUGCAAACCUAUAUCUGCUGGAGGGCUAAACUCUCUGGACUGGUAAGGCUAACCUAUCCAGAAGAGCUCUGGUAGCUUGGGAAAAUGUGUGCAAACCUAUAUCUGCUGGAGGGCUUAACAUCCUAGACUUGUCUGUGUGGAACAAAGCAGCCAUAACUA